GAUGAACGCUGGCGGCGUGCCUAAUACAUGCAAGUCGAGCGAACGGACGAGAAGCUUGCUUCUCUGAUGUUAGCGGCGGACGGGUGAGUAACACGUGGAUAACCUACCUAUAAGACUGGGAUAACUUCGGGAAACCGGAGCUAAUACCGGAUAAUAUUUUGAACCGCAUGGUUCAAAAGUGAAAGACGGUCUUGCUGUCACUUAUAGAUGGAUCCGCGCUGCAUUAGCUAGUUGGUAAGGUAACGGCUUACCAAGGCAACGAUGCAUAGCCGACCUGAGAGGGAGGUCGGCCACACUGGAACUGAGACACGGUCCAGACUCCUACGGGAGGCAGCAGUAGGGAAUCUGCCGCAAUGGGCGAAAGCCUGACGGAGCAUCGCCGCGUGAGUGAUGAAGGUUUUCGGAUCGUAAAACUCUGUUAUCAGGGAAGAACAUAUGUGUAAGUAACUGUGCACAGCUUGACGGUACCUAAUCAGAAAGCCACGGCUAACUACGUG
RNAcentral lists this ribosomal RNA (497 nucleotides) under uncultured bacterium. RNAcentral describes it as "partial 16S ribosomal RNA". It matches the Rfam family "Bacterial small subunit ribosomal RNA", at positions 28 to 507 of the family's 1533-position model. The record is from RNAcentral.